Molecule: ribosomal RNA, 331 nt
Filed under: uncultured bacterium
Lineage: Bacteria
Description: bacterial SSU rRNA
Rfam family: Bacterial small subunit ribosomal RNA
Source: RNAcentral
AGAGUUUGAUCCUGGCUCAGGAUGAACGCUAGCUACAGGCUUAACACAUGCAAGUCGAGGGGCAUCAGGGUGUAGCAAUACACCGCUGGCGACCGGCGCACGGGUGAGUAACGCGUAUCCAACCUUCCGUACACUCAGGGAUAGCCUUUCGAAAGAAAGAUUAAUACCUGAUGGUAUCUUAAGCACACAUGUAAUUAAGAUUAAAGAUUUAUCGGUGUACGAUGGGGAUGCGUUCCAUUAGGUAGUAGGCGGGGUAACGGCCCACCUAGCCAACGAUGGAUAGGGGUUCUGAGAGGAAGGUCCCCCACAUUGGAACUGAGACACGGUCCAA